This is a non-coding RNA of Myotis davidii, 72 nucleotides long. Lineage: Eukaryota; Metazoa; Chordata; Mammalia; Chiroptera; Vespertilionidae. The record is from Rfam.
GGCAGUUCUCGGGUGAUGCACCCCGAAACGGGCUCCCUCCUCUGGUUCCAGGUGUGUCACCCGAGAACUGCA